RNAcentral lists this long non-coding RNA (913 nucleotides) under Vigna radiata. RNAcentral's name for it is "long non-coding RNA (VRAD_LNC012324)". Lineage: Eukaryota; Viridiplantae; Streptophyta; Magnoliopsida; Fabales; Fabaceae. The record is from RNAcentral.
CAUGACAACUCAAGAAACUAAACAACACAAUGAAUAACUCAAAUUAGAGAGAAACAAGAUACUUAGCUCAAGCGGACGCAGCUCGAACCUAGGCUCUGAAUACCACAUGAUAGAUCCGCUCCGGCGAGGAACCAUAGAUCUGGUGUGGAUUGAGGUGAUGAUCCGAACAGGAGACAUAGCGGAAGACGGAAAUCGGAGAUAACCCUAGGUUUUGAAGGUUUGAUCGGUGGAGAUUCUAGGGUUUUGAUGCAGAAGAGGGUUUAAUCGGUGGAUGAGUCAAAUAACCGAUGGAAAGAAGAGAUUGAUCGGAGGAAAAACUUUUAAACGAAGCAAAGGAAAAUUUAAACGGUGGAAGUGUCUACAAUCCAAUUUCAAUCGGUAAAAGAGAUUGUAGGUGAGAUUCUAAUCGGUGGAUUGGUGAUAAACCUGAUGGAAGAGGUUGUCUUGGGAUUGGAUUCGUGAUGGAGUUGAGAUUUGAUGAAGGCAAAGCCAACAAUGCAGGCCGUCGGGGAGAGAGAAAGAAAAUAGGGUUGGGCGUGAAAUGAGGAAAUGAAAAUGAAGUAGCGAGACGUGAAGCUGCUGAUUGGUGAGGAAUGCUUUGGUGGAGGAGUGAGAAAUUCUGAUGUGGAAAAUGAGAGAAAUGGAUGUGAGAUGGAAGGUAGCUAGAGGAGAUCCUUUAGGAUUCUCUAGCCUUGACUUUCAAGGUAGAAUUCCUCUGGAGUUUUAUCAACAAAUAAACAAUUAAAUUAUCUCAAAAGUGAUUACAAGAAGUGUUGGCAUGUCUAUAUAUAGGACCAAAAGUCCCACAUGCCUAACACAUUUUACACAUGCCUAAUAAAAAUAAACGAAAUGCUAAACUAAGAAAAAUACGCUUGGGCCCAAGUCAUCAUUAGCUAAACCAGUGCUUCCGUUA